RNAcentral lists this small nucleolar RNA (142 nucleotides) under Microcebus murinus (gray mouse lemur). RNAcentral's name for it is "Small nucleolar RNA SNORA70 (ENSMICG00000026280.3)". It matches the Rfam family "Small nucleolar RNA SNORA70". From Rfam's summary of the family: snoRNA U70 seems to be exclusive to mammals and is a member of the H/ACA class of snoRNA which contain H (ANANNA) and ACA box motifs. H/ACA box snoRNAs are involved in the conversion of uridines to pseudouridines (5-ribosyluracil) a constituent of structural RNAs (transfer, ribosomal, small nuclear, and small nucleolar). The record is from Rfam by way of RNAcentral. Lineage: Eukaryota; Metazoa; Chordata; Mammalia; Primates; Cheirogaleidae.
CUGCAACUAAGUUAAGUUGAUUCAUCUAGCCUUCCUUCCUGAUGAGUUCUCACUUUGCAGCAGCUGCAAAAAGCCAGCUUCCCCAGCUGUGUAUGCAGCUCAUUUCUUGUUUGUGUUGCCCUAAGGGACCCUGAAGACAUCA